Molecule: long non-coding RNA, 359 nt
Filed under: Physcomitrium patens
Lineage: Eukaryota; Viridiplantae; Streptophyta; Bryopsida; Funariales; Funariaceae
Description: long non-coding RNA (PPAT_LNC007818)
Source: RNAcentral
AAGCAGGCUGCCAAGGCCGCGUCCAAGGCGGUGAAGAAGGCUUCGGGCUCCGGCGCUGGCAGGCCGCUGUGGUUCCCCGGCGCGCAGGCGCCCGAGUGGCUGGACGGAUCCCUCCCCGGAGACUACGGAUUCGACCCCUUGAGCCUGGGCAAGAGCCCGGAGUACCUGCAGAUUGAGCUGGACUCGCUGAACCAGAACCUGGCCAAGAACGAGGCCGGAGAUGUGAUCGGAACCCGCAUCUCGAAGAAGGAGGAGAUCGCCCCAACCCCGUUCCAGCCGUACAGCGAGGUGUUCGGCCUGCAGAGGUUCAGGGAAUGCGAGCUGAUCCACGGGCGCUGGGCCAUGCUUGCCAUAUUGGG